This 1300-nucleotide long non-coding RNA is filed under the name Homo sapiens (human). RNAcentral describes it as "HSALNT0064444". Lineage: Eukaryota; Metazoa; Chordata; Mammalia; Primates; Hominidae. The record is from RNAcentral.
GUGCCUGAUGCCGUGAAACUACCCAAUGAUUUGCUGGUAACUUCACAUAUCCACCUUUGAGAUAGCAGUCCAUUUUCUGCUCUCUGCUUUUCCAUAGGACAAGCUUGAAUAUCCGACCUUGGCUGAUAAGGAGGCAUCCUAGGCAACAGAUGGGUUUUUGGAAUGGUCACUUCCACAGCAAUACUAAACUGAUACACAAAGGAUCCCCGUACUUCAUCAAAAUAUCAAUGUUGUCCAUGACACACAAAGAACCCAGCUGUAGUUUAAUUCAGCAUCACAGUCCCAACAUGUUUUAAAACAUGUUCCAGCUUUUGGUCCCAGGAUUAUUCAACCUAGCUCAUAAAAGAAAACAAUAUUGCAUUUCUAAGUAUUGGCUCCUAGAAUUGGCAAGUUUAGUCAAGAAAAGCUGGAAUGCCGUUAAAACAACACCCUGUCAUCUUUCAAUCAGUCCUUAGCUGAAGUUAAAAUCCCACUCAUUCUGCAUGAUCCAGCCUCUGUAGCAUAGAGUGAGUAGCCCCUUAACAAGAACCAAAAUGGAGGGUACGGAUGAGGCUCAGAUCGUCACCACCUGGAGAAUAGAGACAGUGACUGAGUCACCAGGAAAUCUGUCCCCUGCUCAUCCCAGAAUCCCCGAGCUUUGACUUUUUAAGAGAACAUGUGACAGAUAAUGCCAUCUGAGAAGGAUUGCCUCCUUUACUGUAUGUUUUCCACUGAGAUGAAGAUUUUGGUCAUUUCCUCAUUCAUGUUCCUGCUUUUCAAAACCCAAGCAAGAAAGGAAACUUCUACAGUGACUUUCUCAUUAUGAAAUCUUAGCAUUCACUAGUCGGCCAUAAUGGAAAACCAGCCAAAUGGACACAUAUACACUGGUCUGUACCCGCAGAGAAAGAAAUGCAAAUCUCUGUGAUCAGAAAACUAUCCUAUCUUGUACAUUGUUAAAAGUCUGCCUCCAAAAAGUUUACUUCUGGAAUACUGUAAUUGAAUAGAAUCAGGGAUCCUACCUGUGUCCUUCAACUUUCACAUCUUGUCUACUCAAGUAAGGGUUGAAUUUGCAUGACUAUAUCUAAGGUUCGAGGGCUUACCUGUUGGCAGUAGACCCAGUAGUCUAUGAAUGGAAAUGGGCAAACCUGUGACCUCCCAAAACUUUAAUAUGAAAGUUUUGUUUGUGUAUACUCAUGGCAUUAUUCUUUUAAUAAAGAGAUAAUCUAUAUAGUUUUCUUUUUUAAAAGAUACUUUUAUUUCUUUAUUGUUGGGAACUGACACAGCUAAUUUCUUUCUGAAGAGGUUCUUUGGUUGAGAAUGG